GUAGGUGGCAAGCGUUGUCCGGAAUUAUUGGGCGUAAAGCGCGCGCAGGCGGUCCUUUAAGUCUGAUGUGAAAGCCCACGGCUCAACCGUGGAGGGUCAUUGGAAACUGGGGGACUUGAGUACAGAAGAGGAAAGCGGAAUUCCACGUGUAGCGGUGAAAUGCGUAGAGAUGUGGAGGAACACCAGUGGCGAAGGCGGCUUUCUGGUCUGUAACUGACGCUGAGGCGCGAAAGCGUGGGAAGCAAACAGGGAUUAGAUACCCUGGUAGUCCACGCCGUAAACGAUGAGUGCUAAGUGUUAGGGGGUUUCCCGCCCCUUAGUGCUGCAGCUAACGCAUUAAGCACUCCGCCUGGGGAGUACGCCGCAAGGCUG
This 372-nucleotide ribosomal RNA is filed under the name uncultured organism. Its description in RNAcentral is "partial 16S ribosomal RNA". It matches the Rfam family "Bacterial small subunit ribosomal RNA", at positions 527 to 896 of the family's 1533-position model. The record is from RNAcentral.